AUGAACCUCACUUGUGGGGGGAUUAGUGGCGAACGGGUGAGUAACACGUGAGUAACCUGCCCCUGACUCUGGGAUAAGCCAGGGAGACCGGGUCUAAUACUGGAUACGACCUUCCCGCGCAUGCGGUGUUGGUGGAAAGCUUUUGUGGUUUUGGAUGGACUCGCGGCCUAUCAGCUUGUUGGUGGGGUAAUGGCCUACCAAGGCGACGACGGGUAGCCGGCCUGAGAGGGUGACCGGCCACACUGGGACUGAGACACGGCCCAGACUCCUACGGGAGGCAGCAGUGGGGAAUAUUGCACAAUGGGCGCAAGCCUGAUGCAGCGACGCCGCGUGAGGGAUGAAGGCCUUCGGGUUGUAAACCUCUUUCAGUAGGGAAGAAGCUGGUCCUUUUGGGGUUGGUGACGGUACCUGCAGAAGAAGCGCCGGCUAACUACGUGCCAGCAGCCGCGGUAAUACGUAGGGCGCAAGCGUUAUCCGGAAUUAUUGGGCGUAAAGAGCUCGUAGGCGGUUUGUCGCGUCUGCCGUGAAGGUCCGGGGCUUAACUCCGGAUCUGCGGUGGGUACGGGCAGACUAGAGUGCAGUAGGGGAGACUGGAAUUCCUGGUGUAGCGGUGAAAUGCGCAGAUAUCAGGAGGAACACCGAUGGCGAAGGCAGGUCUCUGGGCUGUAACUGACGCUGAGGAGCGAAAGCAUGGGGAGCGAACAGGAUUAGAUACCCUGGUAGUCCAUGCCGUAAA
Molecule: ribosomal RNA, 736 nt
Filed under: uncultured bacterium
Lineage: Bacteria
Description: bacterial SSU rRNA
Rfam family: Bacterial small subunit ribosomal RNA
Source: RNAcentral